AGUGAACGCUGGCGGUAGGCCUAACACAUGCAAGUCGAACGGCAGCACAGUAAGAGCUUGCUCUUACGGGUGGCGAGUGGCGGACGGGUGAGGAAUACAUCGGAAUCUACUUUUUCGUGGGGGAUAACGUAGGGAAACUUACGCUAAUACCGCAUACGACCUACGGUUGAAAGCAUUGGAUCUUCGGACCUUGCGCGAUUGGAUGAGCCGAUGUCGGAUUAGCUAGUUGGCGGGGUAAAGGCCCACCAAGUCGACGAUCCGUAGCUGGUCUGAGAGGAUGAUAAGCCACACUGGAACUGAGACACGGUCCAGACUCCUACGGGAGGCAGCAGUGGGGAAUAUUGGACAAUGGGCGCAAGCAUGAUCCAGCCAUACCGCGUGGGUGAAGAAGGCCUUCGGGUUGUAAAGACCUUUUGUUGGGAAAGAAAAGCAGCAGGUUAAUACCCAGCUGUUCUGACGGUACCCAAAGAAUAAGCACCGGCUAACUUCGUG
This 492-nucleotide ribosomal RNA is filed under the name uncultured bacterium. RNAcentral describes it as "partial 16S ribosomal RNA". It matches the Rfam family "Bacterial small subunit ribosomal RNA", at positions 29 to 507 of the family's 1533-position model. The record is from RNAcentral.